Non-coding RNA from Bufo bufo (common toad), 80 nucleotides. RefSeq annotates it as small Cajal body-specific RNA 18. The transcript has a single exon. The record is from RefSeq and is a predicted model, not a curated record. Lineage: Eukaryota; Metazoa; Chordata; Amphibia; Anura; Bufonidae.
UGGUCAAUGAUGACUAGCCCACUGCGCAAUCUUAGUUCUUAUGAACAUGAUAGAAAUAGUGCUGUAUGUUUCUGAGACCA